RNAcentral lists this long non-coding RNA (1939 nucleotides) under Homo sapiens (human). RNAcentral's name for it is "non-protein coding lnc-DTHD1-10:1". The record is from RNAcentral. Lineage: Eukaryota; Metazoa; Chordata; Mammalia; Primates; Hominidae.
AUGGGCAGGAAGCAGUUCCAAUACAAUGUCAGUAGGAACGACUUCUUCACCUCCUUCAUGAGGUUCAUGUCCAAACAUGACACCGUCAGACACCCUGACCAGAAGACUGAGAAAAUCCAGCUAAAGAAUAUUAGAAAAUGUAGGCAAGAUCUGUGUGGCAUCAUUAGCAAAAUAUUAUUUCUAAAGAUAAAAAAAAGAACCGUAAAAGAAAGUUUUUAAAAAUUAUCAAGGCUGUUACAAAAUACUAUCCAAGAAAAUGAUGAAAUAAAGUGAUACUCAUGAGGACAGCCGAAGCUUUCACUACUUUAACUGAUGAACAGUCCUGAAAACAUAGAAAGAAUUUGACGACAUAGCAAGUACUUGAGCCAUAAACUUUAGCAGUGCUUUGAUAGUUUUGAAAGUCAAUAAGAAAGACACAAUUUUUAGUUUUUACUCAAUGCAUGUUGAAAUUUAUGGUUAUCUAUUCAGUUUUUCCAUGUUCUUGGUUAUAUCAAUGUGCUAAAGAGGAGACCAGAUCCUAAUGUCUAUAAGACAGAUUUGUGUAUUAUUUGUUCAUCGAAAUAAAAAUAUAAGUAUAUAAUAUUUUGCCCUUAAGUUUAGCUGAAUUUGAGCCCCAAUAUAACAACAAUCUACUUAGCAUACUAAGUGAUAAUAUUCUAAUACUACAGCUGAUCAGAGAUGAUUACCUUUCACAAUGAAGCCCCUUUUAGCUACCCAGUUUGAAGAAUAGAAUUCUAUGAUUAUCUCAUAUGGCUGGGAUUAAAAUCUUUAGAUGUUCAACAAUGUAUAUUAAGAUAAUAUCAUGGAGUACUUCAGUAAAAAAAAUUAUAUAAUCUCCCCAAAAAAUAAAAAUGAACCAAAGUUGAGAAGCAAAUCUUUUGUUUCAAACUUGGCAUCCUUAGAAACUUUAUGAAGCUUUCCUAUGAGAUUACUCAUGUAGCUUCAGCUCUUCAAUUGACAUUUUGCCAGUCACUGUUGUUGAAGAGGAUGGUUGAAAUGGAUUGUAGUAAUAAAUUAGGAUGUUGCAAGUAUACAGAAUUUAUAGAAAUCUAAACAAUCGUAUCAUCACAAUCUAUUGACUUUGAAGAUGAGAAAUAUGAAUAUGUAUAACUAUACUUGAGAAACUUUCUUAUGUGAUUGUAAACCAAAAAGUGCAAGUGGUAGAGAAAGAAGAUAGUAUCACAGAAGACUCCUCCAUGCAGAAUUGAUUAAAUUUUCAAGGCAGGCAAUGGCAGACGUUUGAGAAAGAUCAGCUUAUCUGCACUGCAGAGAAAUAACCAGAAUAAAAUAGGCAAGUUGAUACUGACAAGAACAGAUCAAAGAAGAGGUUGGAAAUAGAAUCCUAAGUAUCUAAGAAAACUGCUAAAUCAAAAAUAUAUAUAUAUAAGUGCUCAUGCCAUUGUUCCAGUGAAAUAGGAUCUACAGAAUCAGGCAGAUGGGGUUAUUGAGAGUGAAACUGCAGUAAACAAAGAUGAAGUAAAAGUGUCAGGCGAUGACACUGAUUUUGAUAAAGAAAAAAAAAAAAAAAGAAAAAACAGCAGAAAAAGAAGAGAGGUUCCCAAAAUAAAAAUGAUGAUGGUAGUAGCAGAGAUUUUGAUGAAAAAGAAAUCAAAGCUCGUGCAACACAGUGGCAAGAAGUACAUCAAAGUAUACAAGGGAAGAAGAGAGCUUUACUGAAAAUCAGAUCAUCUUAUUUAUAGUCUGUACUUUCCUGAGAACUAACCAGAAUGAUGGUAGCUAUAUAUUACAGUUACGAAGGAACAGAUUAAUAUCUAGGUGAUAUCGCAUGAAUAUCAAAUGUAUAAGGAAAAGAGAACUGGAGAUUUCUUCACCAGGUAAACCUGGAAAUUGUCAAUAUAGAAAAUCAAACACAGCGGGGGGAACAUAGGAUCACCUAGACCAGGACAAGAAUUAGCACUUUGAAGAUCACUUUAAGAAG